Molecule: ribosomal RNA, 442 nt
Filed under: uncultured bacterium
Lineage: Bacteria
Description: partial 16S ribosomal RNA
Rfam family: Bacterial small subunit ribosomal RNA
Source: RNAcentral
UGGGGAAUAUUGCACAAUGGGCGCAAGCCUGAUGCAGCAACGCCGCGUGAGGGACGACGGCCUUCGGGUUGUAAACCUCUUUUAGUAGGGAAGAAGCGAAAGUGACGGUACCUGCAGAAAAAGCACCGGCUAACUACGUGCCAGCAGCCGCGGUAAUACGUAGGGUGCGAGCGUUGUCCGGAAUUAUUGGGCGUAAAGAGCUCGUAGGCGGUCUGUCGCGUCUGCUGUGAAAACCCGAGGCUCAACCUCGGGGCCUGCAGUGGGUACGGGCAGACUAGAGUGCGGUAGGGGAGAAUGGAAUUCCUGGUGUAGCGGUGGAAUGCGCAGAUAUCAGGAGGAACACCGAUGGCGAAGGCAGUUCUCCUGGGCCGUAACUGACGCUGAGAGCGAAAGCGUGGGGAGCGAACAGGAUUAGAUACCCUGGUAGUCCACGCCGUAAACG